AGGAGUAGCUGCUUCCGGUGUUUGUUCCAUGUGGACAGAAACUGUUAUUGGACAAAACAGCUUUAAUUAAUAGAAUCUGAAUGGUAAGAGCGAGUAAUGACUGGAUUUACUGUAUACAGCAUUCAUGUACUAUGUAGAGUAUACAGCAUUCAUGUAAUGUAUAGCAUUUAUGUAGUAUACAGUAUUCAUGUAAUGUAUAGAGUAUACAGCAUUCAUGUACUAUGUAGAGUAUACAGUAUUCAUGUAAUGUAUAGCAUUCAUGUACUACAUAAAGAGUAUACAGCAUUCAUGUAAUGUAUAGCAUUUAUGUAGUAUACAGCAGUCAUGUAAUAUAUAGAGCAUACAGUAGAGAGCUUAGGAUUAAUAGUGAGUAUGUAGUUCACCCUGUGAGAUAUAGAAUAUAUUUACUUUAAAUUCACUUCUGAGCUUGAACAAAUUGUAGUAUAGUGUAUACCUUUAAGAAAAAAUACAAAUAACAAUAAAAUGGUGUAGUACCUGUAGCGGAACGCCAAUAUUAAAUCCACGAAUUCCGCUGGUUCAGGAAGUAAUCCACAGUCAAGCGCUGAAACAACAAGGCAAUAUCCCCAACCUCCCAGUAACCGGACGAAACACAGUUCUGAGAGUCAACUGAAGUCCUUUAAUUCUGCUUCACAAUUUAUACAAGUCCCCAUGCAAGGGGUUUCCUGAGUCCCCUCCCAGGGGCAUUCCCAGAGGGGACUACAUGGGGAACUUACAGUACAACACAUUUCUCCCAUCAGGCACUGCUGCACGAGAGGGAUCCUCCUCCUGGAAUAUACCGUUAAGUGGAUUAGCCCUCCGUGCAGCAGAACCGACAAUUUAUAUAAAAAUCUGUAACUUUGCGAAUAUACGGUUUAUUUGCACGAAUGGACGUUCGGUAGAUAGCUGGGGUCUGAGCGCAUCAUUCGUGAGAUUACCGCUCAGAUCCCAGCUAAAAUAACCGAACGCCGCACGAAAAACACAUUUAUUGAGAAACAUAUUAAAAAGACCGAUUGCCUUCCAGGGAAUGAAAUACCGAACGGCCUGGAACUCCCGAACGUCCUGGAGGCUCAGCGGUGUUCGUGCCGUCGAGUAGCCGUUUUUAGUACCAUGCGCUCGACGACCUAACACCGCUGAGGGAACAAAUGAUCCAAGAUGGCCGACCGCCGCAUGGUCGGUAGUCGAACGACGGCCACCCAGGAGAGCCUAUAAUUACCGAUUGCAACAUUGUUGCAAUCGGUUAACAAGCGCCACACGCCUCUAAGUGUGUGGGCUAUUAGGGGUCAUGUUUUCGGUUCACGAACGGCCCUCCAAAGUGCCGUUCGUGAAACGAAAGGCAAACCCCAUACAAAUAGCUAUCCGCAUUCGGCGGAUAGCAAAUACAGGCAAUUCAAGAUAUUACAGUCAGCAUACAGUGUACGUAGUUAAACACAUAUCUCCACCGACAUGCAGGCAACCCUUAAACGUACAGUCUCUGGUUAUAGUCCAAGUGGCUAGGUUUGCCACAAUGCUCCCCCAGAACCAAGCCGGCAUACACAGUCUGAUGCCCACGGAUCGGCUUGGGGAUGUCCGGAGGAGGGCUCACAGAUCACUUCUCAAGGUCUGUUUAUCUGGAUAACCCGUCAGCGUUACCGUUUUGUUUCCCGGGGCGAUAAUGGAUAGUAAAGUCAAAAGGCUGUAGCGCUAAACUUCAGCGCAGCAGCCUGGCAUUGUCUCCAGCCACACGGUUCAGCCACACCAACGGGUUGUGAUCUGUGAGCAAAGAAAAGGGUUGCCCAUAGAGAUAUGGUUGUAACUUUUUCAGGGCCCACACCACGGCCAGGCAUUCGUUUUCUAUGGCGGCGUAGCUCACUUCUCGGGGCAACAAUUUCCGGUUUAAAUAUGCUACGGGAUGUUCUCCGCCAUCUGCUCCGACCUGGCUCAGUACUGCUCCCAAUCCAAACAUUGAGGCGUCUGUGUGGACAAGAAAACGUUUAGUUGGAUCAGGAGCAGCCAGUACAGGGGCAUUGGUCAGAGCCGUCUUUAGUUGGUUGAAUGCCUGUUCACACUCUGGGGCCCAGAUGACCUGCCUGGGCAGGUUUUUCUUCGUCAAGUCAGUCAGGGGUUUGGCCAGGGCACUGUAAUUGGGCACAAAUUUUCUAUAAUACCCGGCAUCUCUGCUCUACCACCUGGUAUGGGCCCUGCCAGACGGCCUGUAGUUUGUCUGUGCGGACAGGUUUGAGGAUUAGCACCUUCUGCCCCACUUGAAAACUACGGUCUCUGGCACCUCUGUCAUACCAACGACGCUGUCGUUGCUGGGCGGCUUGGAGGUUGGUGCGCACUGCCUGAGUUAAUUCCUCCAGGCGAUCCCGGAACGCCAGCACGUAUGGUACAAUAGGGGUCCCAUCUGCGCUACUCUCUCCCUCCCAAUGCUCUCUAAUGAGAUCCAACGGUCCCCGGACCCUUCUCCCAAAUAACAGUUCAAAUGGGGAGAAACCGGUAGACUCUUGGGGUACCUCUCUGUAGGCAAACAACAGAUGGGGAAGGAAUCGUUCCCAGUCCUUAUGAGUCUCUCCGAAUGUACGGAGCAUCUGUUUUAGGGUACCGUUUAACCUCUCACACAAUCCGUUGGAUUGAGGGUGGUAGGCCGAGUUAAUGAUUGGCUUAAUGCCACAUAUUUUCCAUAACUGCUGAGUAACCUCGGCCGUAAAUUGUGUCCCCCUAUCGGAGACAAUUUCCUGCGGGAACCCUACUCUGGAAAAGAUUUUCAUCAGGGCUUCGGCCACGGUCUCAGCGUGAAUAUUGGUUAGGGCAAUCGCCUCGGGGUACCGGGUGGCGUAGUCCACCACGGUCAGUAUAUACCGCUUCCCAGAGGGGCUGGGUUUUGGUAGUGGCCCCACUAUAUCUACAGCCACACGGCUGAACGGUUCCUCAAUUAUAGGUAGUGGACACAGUUUCGCCUUGUGGCGAUCCCCCCUCUUGCCUACCCGCUGACACACAUCACAGGAGGUGCAAUAAUGUCUUACAUCUUUAGAAAUCCCGGGCCAAAAGAAAGCGUGAGUUAAGCGAUACCGGGUCCGGGUCAUCCCUAAAUGGCCGGACAGAGGGAUGUCAUGGGCUGUUCUUAGUAACUCAUGUCUAUACUUCUGGGGUACUACCAGCUGCUUAGUUUGGAGGGUCACAGAGCUUCCUAUUGCCCUUUCAGCCACCCGGUACAACAACUUGUUUUCCCAAAUGUACCGUUCCCCCUCCCGUCCCACCUGGUCCGUGUCUACCCUAUCUCGUUAUACCUGCAGUGUGGGGUCUGUCUGGACCUCUGCUUCAAAAGUGGUCGGGGUGUCCCAGGUCAUAUGCGUCAAGGGGGGGUCAUGGUUUCUUACCUGAGCCUCAGAGUGUGUUGGUGGUACCGUGGUGCGAGCCUGUUGCCGGGUAGUUACCGGAUGAGCUUCUUGCGAAGGAGCCUGGGGUAGGAAAGCUGAAGUCAUCUGGCCCAAGUCAUUCCCCAACACAACAUCUGCCGGUAACUUCUUCAUUAUUGCCACUUCUACAACCCCCUCCCCAGCACCCCAGUUCAAAUGCACCUUGGCAGUGGGUAGCCGGUACAUGGCUCCCCCUGCUACCCUGACCGCCACUGAUCCGCCAGUGUGGGCCGUAUCUGGAACCAAAUGUGGAGCAACCAGGGUCAAAGUGGCUCCCGAGUCCCUCAGCCCUUGUACUUCCUUCCCCCCACAAACACAACUUGACGGUGAUGCUGCCUGUUGUCUGUGGCUUGCACCGACAUCACUUCGUAUAAAACUCCCAAUGGUUCCUCAGUUUGCAGACUUGCCAGCUCAGCGUGGUCAGGUUCCGUGUGGUAGUAAUGAGCUGCUGCCCUUGGGGUGGAGUUUUGCCGUACCUGGUUCCACGCCUGUCUACUCCGAUUCUGGGUGCACUCCCGGGACAUAUGCCCCCACUGCCGGCAGGUAUGGCAUUGUAUGUUGGCUCGGCCAUUGUAGCGGAAUGGUGGUGGGGGGUUCCCUGGUGCUGGCCGGAAUGGGGCAGAGUUGGUAGGUGUGGAGAUGGUCGGGUGGUGUUGUACUGGUGGUUUCAGGGGACCCCUGUUGGUGAGCCCAUGAUGCCUCCUGGCAUUAAAGUGUUGAUCCGCCAACCGGGCGGCUUCUGUUAGGGUGAGGGGUUUUCUGUCUCUUACCCACUCUUGUGCCUCUGGUGACAGGCCGUUAAAGAACUGCUCCAGCAGGAUGAGUUGGCGCAGUCCCUCCAUGGUGGUGGCGUGGCUUGCCUGAAUCCACCCUUGUGACGCUUGGUCAAGCUUAUGUGCCCACUCAGCGUGGGAAUCUUUUUCUGGCUUCCUCAAUCCCCGAAAUUUACGCCGGUAUGCCUCCGUGGUUAUGGCAUACCUCUCUAGAAUUGCCCUUUUGACUUUAAAAUAGUCCUUGCUGUCCUCUCUGGGCACAGCGCGAUAAGCCUCUGCUGCUCGUCCUGCCAACUUGCCUGCUAGUAAGGGUACCCACAUUGCCUGCUCCAGAUCGUGUAGGUCGCAUAACCUCUCAAAAUCCUGCAGGUAUCCGUCGAUCUCAUCCUUCUCCUCACAGAACGCUUUAAAUGCCUGGUAGGGUAUUUUCUGCUUCACUGGAGCGCAGAAUGAGUUGGCGAUGGAUUCUGCCCUGGAGGGUGGCCCCAGGGGCUGCUGUGCCAUAAUGUAGUCCUGUACGUCUGCCAUCAGUACGGUCAAGAUGUCCAGGGGUACUGGCUGAGGUACAAAUUCCUGCCGGGUUCUCAGUUCCCUCUGAUAUGGGGUUUCCUCCCUGGCAGGUGGGGGUGGGCUGCUGUGUGCUUGGUCGCCCUCCAUCAGCUCUGCAAUUAGUACUGCUUUGGAUUUGUUGCUAGCACUUUUCCCUCUAGCCUCCAGCAGUUCCUUUAGCGUCUGCCUCUUUAAUGCCGUGUAAUCCGUCCCCAUUCACUGAUCGCUUUCGUCUGUUUGUUGCAUACGAAUUGCCUUUCCCUUUUUCCGUUCGGUUGUUUCUUUCAUUCGAAUGCGCUGUAUUCGGCUGUAGAGUUGGAUCCCGUCACUUGCCACCAAUUGUAUCGGAACGCCAAUAUUAAAUCCACGAAUUCGGCUGGUUCAGGAAGUAAUCCACAGUCAAGCGCUGAAACAACAAGGCAAUAUUCCCAACCUCCUAGUAACCGGACGAAACACAGUUCUGAGAGUCAACUGAAGUCCUUUAAUUCUGCUUCACAAUUUAUACAAGUCCCCAUGCAAGGGGUUUCCUGAGUCCCCUCCCAGGGGCAUUCCCAGAGGGGACUACAUGGGGAACUUACAGUACAACACAUUUCUCCCAUCAGGCACUGCUGCACGAGAGGGAUCCUCCUCCUGGAAUAUACCGUUAAGUGGAUUAGCCCUCCGUGCAGCAGAACCGACAAUUUAUAUAAAAAUCUGUAACUUUGCGAAUAUACGGUUUAUUUGCACGAAUGGACGUUCGGUAGAUAGCUGGGGUCUGAGCGCAUCAUUCGUGAGAUUACCGCUCAGAUCCCAGCUAAAAUAACCGAACGCCGCACGAAAAACACAUUUAUUGAGAAACAUAUUAAAAAGACCGAUUGCCUUCCAGGGAAUGAAAUACCGAACGGCCUGGAACUCCCGAACGUCCUGGAGGCUCAGCGGUGUUCGUGCCGUCGAGUAGCCGUUUUUAGUACCAUGCGCUCGACGACCUAACACCGCUGAGGGAACAAAUGAUCCAAGAUGGCCGACCGCCGCAUGGUCGGUAGUCGAACGACGGCCACCCAGGAGAGCCUAUAAUUACCGAUUGCAACAUUGUUGCAAUCGGUUAACAAGCGCCACACGCCUCUAAGUGUGUGGGCUAUUAGGGGUCAUGUUUUCGGUUCACGAACGGACCUCCAAAGUGCCGUUCGUGAAACGAAAGGCAAACCCCAUACAAAUAGCUAUCCGCAUUCGGCGGAUAGCAAAUACAGGCAAUUCAAGAUACUACAGUCAGCAUACAGUGUACGUAGUUAAACACAUAUCUCCACCGACAUGCAGGCAACCCUUAAACGUACAGUCUCUGGUUAUAGUCCAAGUGGCUAGGUUUGCCACAGUACCCUUUAGUAUGUCUAUACAGUAAAACAGAGUAAUGGGGCACUCACAUUUUCGCGUUUCGACGAAUGGCUUACUCAAUCCGGUGUGGUAAACCAUCAAGUUCCGAGUCCGUCUAUAUAUAGGUCUGUAAUUUACCGGGGUUCCCUCCAGGUGUACUCUUUCUGUGUUCCAAGCCUCGUUCUGAAGUGAAUGCCAUGUCAUGCCUCUCUCUUGAUAUCAGAAACGUAAUUUCCGCUCUUUUUGCCGUCUCAUCAUAUCCGAUUCUGUCAUCUAUAAGUAUGAACUCUGCUCUCUUCAUAUGUUCCACUGAUUGUUUGCAUUCCACUGAAUUCCUAUUUAGAUGUUGGGAACUCACGGUAUAUCUCCAUGGCAAUUUCAUCCAUAGAUAUUGUGACGGAGCUCCUGUACUCCAACCAAGUAUCUCCGCCCAACCCACUUCCUAGCUGCUGCCUCCAGAGCUCUUCUUUCCUCCCGACCAAGCUGCAGAUAUCGUCCCCUCUGCCUAUUCCUCUGCAGCUCUCCUUCCAGGCAGGUAUUGUCCUCUCUGCCUAUUCCUUUGCAGCUUUCCUUCCAGGCAGGUAUCAUCCUCUCUGCCUAUUCCUCUGCAGCUCUCCUUCCAAUCAGAUAUCGUCCCCUCUGCCUAUUCCUCUGCAGCUCUCCUUCCAGGCAGGUAUCGUCCCCUCUGCCUAUUCCUUUGCAGCUUUCCUUCCAGGCAGGUAUCAUCCUCUCUGCCUAUUCCUCUGCAGCUCUCCUUCCAAUCAGAUAUCGUCCCCUCUGCCUAUUCCUCUGCAGCCCUCCUUCCAGCCAGGUAUCGUCCCCUCUGCCUAUUCCUCUGCAGCUCUCCUUCCAGGCAGGUAUCGUCCCCUCUGCCUAUUCCUUUGCAGUUUUCCUUCCAGGCAGGUAUCAUCCUCUCUGCCUAUUCCUCUGCAGCUCUCCUUCCAAUCAGAUAUCGUCCCCUCUGCCUAUUCCUCUGCAGCUCUCCUUCCAGGCAGGUAUCACCCCUCUGCCUAUUCCUCUGCAGCUCUCCUUCCAGGCAGGUAUCACCCCUUUGCCUAUUCCUCUGCAGCUCUCCUUCCAGGCAGGUAUCGUCCCCUCUGCCUAUUCUGCUGCAGCCCUCCUUCCAGCCAGGUAUCGUCCCCUCUGCCUAUUCCGCUGCAGCCCUCCUUCCAGGCAGGUAUCGUCCCCUCUGCCUAUUCCUCUGCAGCUCUCCUUCCAGGCAGGUAUCGUCCCCUCUGCCUAUUCCGCUGCAGCCCUUCUUCCAGGCAGGUAUCGUCCCCUCUGCCUAUUCCUCUGUAGCUUUCCUUCCAGGCAGGUAUCGUCCCCUCUGCCUAUUCCUCUGCAGCUCUCCUUCCAGGCAGGUAUCGUCCCCUCUGCCUAUUCCUCUGCAGCUCUCCUUCCAGGCAGGUAUCGUCCCCUCUGCCUAUUCCUCUGCAGCUCUCCUUCCAGGCAGGUAUCGUCCCCUCUGCCUAUUCUGCUGCAGCCCUCCUUCCAGCCAGGUAUCGUCCCCUCUGCCUAUUCCUCUGCAGCCCUCCUUCCAGCCAGGUAUCAUCCCCUCUGCCUAUUCCUCUGCAGCUCUCUUUCCAGGCAGGUAUCGUCCCCUCUGCCUGUUCCUCUGCAGCCCUCCUUCCAGCCAGGUAUCAUCCCCUCUGCCUAUUCCUCUGCAGCCCUCCUUCCAGGCAGGUAUCAUCCCUCUGCCUAUUCCGCUGCAGCUCUCCUUCCAGGCAGGUAUCACCCCUCUGCCUAUUCCUCUGCAGCUUUCCUUCCAGGCAGGUAUCGUCCCCUCUGCAGGCUAUUCCUCUGCAGCUCUCCUUCCAGGCAGGUAUCGUCCCCUCUGCCUAUUCCUCUGCAGCUCUCCUUCCAGGCAGGUAUCACCCCUUUGCCUAUUCCUCUGCAGCUCUCCUUCCAGGCAGGUAUCGUCCCCUCUGCCUAGUCCGCUGCAGCCCUCCUUCCAGCCAGGUAUCGUCCCCUCUGCCUAUUCCUCUGCAGCCCUCCUUCCAGGCAGGUAUCGUCCCCUCUGCCUAUUCCUCUGCAGCCCUCCUUCCAGACAGGUAUCGUCCCCUCUGCCUAUUCCUCUGCAGCUCUUCUUCCAGGCAGGUAUCGUCCCCUCUGCCUAUUCCUCUGCCGCUUUCCUUCCAGGCAGGUAUCGUCCCCUCUGUCUAUUCCUCUGCAGCUCUCCUUCCAGCCAGGUAUCGUCCCCUCUGCCUAUUCCUCUGCAGCCCUCCUUCCAGCCAGGUAUCGUCCCCUCUGCCUAUUCCUCUGCAGCUCUCCUUCCAGGCAGAUAUCGUCCCCUUUGCCUAUUCCUCUGCAGCUUUUCUUCCAGGCAUCGUCCCCUCUGCAUCUAUGGCCCUGGGAUAUAUGGCAUUUGAAAACAAUAUUUGUUCCCUGUGACAAAACUGGAGAUUGUGCACAAAUAUGACUAUUGUCCAUAUUUUUUAUGAUUCCCUUUGUUUGUUGCACUGUUCCCUGUGUGUUUCAUCUGUUGGUUCGGCUGGAAAGACUACCAGACAAACUGUGGAGUUACUGGGUGGCCACCAUUUCAUGUAUCAGAGACACAUGGUGAGAACAAUGGAUGAAGCACAUGGUGAGAACAAUGGAUGGCGGCCAUUUUAACUCACAGACACUGUUUGAACUUUUGUACACGGUACCAUCUCGCCGGUAUUUGGUGCACAAAGACAUCGUUCAGUAGUUUUAAACUACAGAACAGGGGACACAUUAUACAGUAAUUAUUUUUCAUGUAGCCUGUAUAUGUUCUGCGGAAUCUGCAUUAAACCGUAUCUUCCAAACUACUGAACGGAUCUGGGGGAAUUUUGGAUAUGUGGUUCACCCAGAUCCCCCGGUUCCGAGGAUAUAUUUAUGGGGUUAUUGCAUGUUUUUGGGUCCCUGUGAUAUGUUUUAUAAUACUGUAUUUUCCUGCCUGUAAUAAUUAAGUUAGUCUAUUGUGUUGAGAUAAUUGUAUCACAGGCAGAGGGGAGGAUUUCUGAUGUAAUGAAUGGGAGUGUUAGCUGUAUUGUAAUGUGUUGAUUGGUUGUUCUGCAAAACCCUGUGGUCAGUUCUAAUUCACCCUCAAUUUGGAGUGCCGUCUCUUAUUGGGGGAAUCUGCUACAAGGGAUUGCUAUGCUCUGCAUACUCUCUUGCUAUAUUCACUGCUAUCUCUUGUAAGAACUUGUUCCUGUCUUGCUCUCUGAAGGAGUCUACGGUGGUUAUGGUGUCGGCUGGAGUGCAUGGAGCCCUCAGGAAGCGCUAGGAGCAUCCUUCAAUGGAAGUACCCAGUCGGGGUGCCAGGUGAUCUGUUACAACCAGUCCUAGCUCUCUUGCUUUAUCCUAGGGCGAGAGGGAUCCUGCAACCAGCAAACAGGUCCGAAGACUGUCACUGGAAUCCCUACAAAAUCCACACAUAAACAUUGCUGUGACAACUCAGUAAAAAUACAGUCAAAUCAUAGCAGACAACAUACAGCAACUUAUAACACAAUGACAUAUUUAUAAAGGGGUGGGGAAGACAGUAAUUAACAGAAAAUCUCUCUCCUGCCUGCAGAAUUAGCAAUAUGCAAAUCUACCAAAAUAUGCAAAUUAACCAGCCUUGCCACUCAGGUAGUGCAUAGAAACCUAGAAUGUGACGGCAGAUAAGAACCAUUCGGCCCAUCUAGUCUGCCCAAUUUUCGAAAUACUUUUAAUUAGUGCCUGGCCUUAUCUUAUAGUUAGGAUAGCCUUAUGGCUAUCCCACGCAUCCUUAAAGGGACUCUCCAGUGCCAGGAAAACAAACUCGUUUUCCUGGCACUGUAGGUCCCCUCUCCCUCCUACCUCCCAUCCCAAGUUGCUGAAGGGGUUAAAACUCCUUCAGUGAUUUAACUGUAUCCUGUGAGGAUAUUUAUGGGCUGAUAAAUAUUAAAAAUAAUAUUUUCAUAAAAAUGAUCAAAAAAAUAUUUAAUCAUUUUUAUUAUAUCAAAAAUUGAUAUCUUGGCACUGUUUCACCGAUUAAUGAUUUAAAGCUGAGAAUUACCCACUAUUUUAAUUCUUAGAUCCUAGAGGAAGUUUCACUAGAAGAUUUAACUACACACAGUACUCACAAAUUAAUUGUAAAAAUAUAAUUUAUUGUGACAAUAAUAAUAAAAAUAAUAAUAAUAUGUAACAUGCGUGACAAUCAGUGAAUAUUUAGGUAUAACUUUAGUAUACAAUAUGGCAGUGGUUUAACACAAUAUAGACAGUUAUAUAUGCAACAGUUGUCAAGAAUAUUUAUGACAAGACACUCCUUUGAAAUCAACAUAACACGGAAUACAGCAUCUAAUAGCUUUUCACAGCAGCAGUGCAGCAUAAAGCAGUAAAAACUUUGGCUGACAGUCAAAUCACACUGAAUUAACUCUUUCACUCGUAGGCAAGAUAUCGUAUUAUAUUGCAAUUUUUACAGCUACAAUAUUCUCAUAUCGGAUCAUUCACCACUCCUAGGACCAUCCAAUAAGAAUAAUUCUAACUAGAUUUUACAUUUGCAGAAUAUCAGAAAAAGUCAAUACCUCUGGAUAAAAAUUGUGUGUGCUAACAUUUGGCAAAUUUAGCGUUAAUAAAUCGUUAUCUUUAUUCCACCUGCAGGAGUGGAAUUUGUAAAACCAUAUAUUCCUUAGCUAAUUAUGAUUUCUAAUAAUUGAAAUCUGACCAAGAUUUAUCCAGAUAUAUAUUCCUGCUAUUAGUAAAAAGUAUGAUGAGAGAAUUGUAUGAGUUCUGAAGUUAUGUUAGUUGGAAAAGUAUAAAGAGUUAGGUGUGUCUCAGAGCGUCUUAGACUGUCCAAUAGUCAGAAUGCGGAGAGUCAAAAAUGGGUCGCAAGAAAAUACUGAGAAUGGGCAGCAGCUGAAAUAGCCUGCCCUUCGGUCGUUACCCGCUCAGUUCUCAAGCUGAUUUUUGCUCAUCUUGUGCCAUUACAGAGAGAACAUAUCUGAAGCAUAUCAGACUGGUCCCACCCAUACAGGCAGUUCAGAUCCAAAAUGCCAGCAAGUUCUCUCUGCACGAGAGAUACAGCAACCCCAGACAAUCGUUUCAGCCUUGUUAGGCAUCAUCAGUGAGGCAUAGCUGAUAUCUCCCUAGGCACCGUGAGCAAGGGGUCCACGUCUGGAUUAUCCCUUUAAACUUGUGGAGAGUCAAAAAUGGGUCGCAAGAGAAUACUGAGAAAUAGUCAGUAUGUGUAAGUACCAGAGAGUGUUUCAGAGCGUCUCCUCUCUUCCCUUUGUCCUUAAUUUUUAAAGGACUAGUUACGCUAUACGUCACUAGUUGAUAGGACCAAUAGAGAACUGUGGACAUGUCUUCCCUACUGACUAUCAUCUAGAAUUUGGUCAGUAGAUGGCACAAUUACAUCACCAAAAAUUCUUGUCAGGGGGUCCGUUUACCUUUUUGUAUAAUGACUUCACUGAAUUUUGUGAUGUUUGAUGUAAUUUGGUUAUCUUUUUAUAGCUACUGUUCGUCAAAGAAGCUGUCAUCUUCAAAGCGUUUGGUUCACUCUUAUCGAGACUUGGUGUAUACCUUUAAAUUUAUUUUCCUGACAUGUCUAAACUCUUCUUCAUCUUUUCUUACAAUGGAACUUUGUAAUAUUCUGUUAGGUUGUUUUUUUUUGUUUUUUUUUUUAGAAAGUAAAAUUAAUUACUUAGUGUUAUCUGUUAUUUGGUGUCUGUGUGGUUUUCUUGUUUGAAACUGUAGUUAAGAUUACACAUAUUCCACUAACAUUAGUAAAUAAUAUGAUAUUAUAUCCAUGAAUGUUUUAUAUUAUUAACUUAGUACUAUUUAUAUAUGAUUAAUAUAAUAUAGUAACACUACUGAAGUAAGGCUGACUGGCCUAUAGUUGCCCGACUCCUCCCUAUUACUUUUCUUGUGAAUGGGCACAACAUUCACUAACUUCCAAUCGUCUGGGACUACUCCUCUUAACAAUGAUUGGUUAAAUAAACCUGUCAAUGGUUUUGCAACUAAGCUCUUUUUUAUUUAUCUUUUUAUUUAACAUUUUAUUUAGCAAAUGAUGCACACUGGCAAAUUGUACUUUGCAGAAAUAACAAUUCCAAGCAUUUUUGUCAGGUACAAUUCCUGCUAGUGAUGACAUCUGUAUGUUAUCAUGGACACUUUGCACACAUUCAUACUGUCAAAUUGAGUAGAUAACAUAUUGCUUUUUACCGACAUUGCAUAUUUCAGACAUUCAAUACGCGGAGCAUUGUGUACAAAAUUUUAGUUUAGUAGUGAGGUGGGUGGAUUAACAACAGGUGGUUGGGCCGGUGUGGGGGGGGGGAGGGAAGAUUCCCCUGUGUAUAACAGAUUUACCAUCCAAACUUCUUGUUUCAACUCAAUGCCGUUUGCAUCUGUGCAAAUGGGUACACGCUCUCUUGUGUAUGUUCAGGGAGUCAGCCUUUGUUGGUGUAUUCCAUCAGGUCCCAUUGAUUUAUUUGGCCUUACGUUUGACAGUUGAACUAGAACCUCUUCCUCUGUAAACUCAUAUGUAACAAAUGCCUCACUUGUCCUUUUUCCUUACUGAGGCCCCUUUCCUUCAUUUUCAUCUGUAAAUACUGAACAAAAAUAUUCAUUGAGGCAGUCAGCUAGACCUUUAUCCUCUUUGUAACGAAUACCCUAUUCAUGGAUAACAAUAUUAUUACUGGUUUGCACUUUUGCUACGAUAUGCUGCACCUAUAUUCCAUACAAAUGUUUAAACGAACAAACUGUGCCUAAUUUGUUCGUUUACCGAACAGUUUGCUGAAUGUUAGACGACCCAAGCCAGUUGUGUGCCGCCAAUUGACUCAUUUGACUCUAUGCAAAACCGCAACCUCAAUGUUCUAAGUGGUUCACUGGGUGGCAAUUGAUUCGUAUGCAUUAACCCGUUGAGGCGGCCAUCUUGUUUUGUCGAACGCGUCCAGCAGGGUUUGGUCGUUGAGUGUCUGGAACUAAUUUCGCACUCUCGAUCUCCCGAACACCGCUGAGACUUCCAGGGACACUUAAAUUCAUUAUAAUCCAUCCGAAGAAGGCGGCAAUUGACAGAAAUUGUAUAUGAAUGAAGCGGCACAUGACCAUCAAAUGAACGAUUUAUGUGAACUAUCAUUCGACAUUUUGGUACUGCGCGAAAGAGCCUGGCCGCACUAGCUGAACGCAUGGAAGUAUUUUGGGCAGGUGCCUUGUGUGCGGCCGUGCAGAAAUGGAACUUCCAGCUAUCUCCCGAACCCCUGAACCGAUUCGUAUAAUUUUUUGAUAUAUUGUUCCCCUGACUAUGGACUAUCAGAAUAUGUGUGUUUUGUGGGGGUUGGAUAUGGUUCUGGGGUGUUUCUGAAAACGUGGAAUUUUUUUUAUUUUUUCGUUUGGAGAUAAUUGAGUUGAUACAGUAAUUAACUCAAUUAUCUCCUAAGCAGAGGGGAGGAAUUUUAUGUAAUAAUUGGGAGUGUUUGGUUAUGUGACUCUAUUUUUAUUGGCUGUUAACUGUAUUUCCCUGUGCCCCACAAGGUCUACCUGGGUGGUAAUCUUGUGGGAAAAGUUGCAUAAAAGGCCAGCCUGGCCCAUUAAAGCUUCAGAUCUGCUUAACCUUCAAUACAUAGCCGUGUCUCGUGUUUGUAGGGAACCUGCUUCAGAGCUAAUCACUAGCUCUUGUAAGAGCUCUAUUACCCCUUCACUACUGGUUCGGCUGAGGUGGCAUCUGGAGAAUAUUGCAGCACAGCUUCUCUCAAGGGAAUAGGAUGUCUCCAACAGCAUACACCCCUAUGAUACUCUGGCUAGCCGUUACACUCUUCUACAUGCCUUCUUUCUUUUGUUUUUAAUCUAACUAAUCCUUGUUUUACUUUCCUUUCUCAUUUAUGUAUCUAAAAAAAAUGGCUUUUUUUACUGACUGUACUAUUUUUCUCUUCUGUGUGUAAAUUUGGAAGCUCUGAUAACUUGCUUAGCCUCUUUCUGCCUAAUCUUAUAGAUCUGUCUAUCUUCCUUCCUCUGGUUUUUUUUUAUAAUUACUAAAUGCUAACUUUUUGUUUUUUACUAUUUUGGCCACAUCUGUGGAGUACCAUAGUGGUUUCUCAAUUUUUUUGCUUUUACUGACAAACCUAACACAGUUUUCUGUUGCCUUCAGUAGUGCAAUGUUUAAAUAAUCCCACUUCUCAGGGACUUUAUUUAAUCUGCUCCAGUCUGAUAAUGACUCCUUUACACACAUUCUAAUUCAAGAAAAAUCUGUUUUUAUAGUUUAAAACUUUUGUUUUUGUGUGGUGUGACUCAUUCACUGUUCUUAUAUUAAACCACACUGACUGAUGAUCACUGGAUCCUAAAUGUUCACCUACAGUAAUAUCUAAUACCAAAUCUUCAUUUGUUAACACUGAAUCUAGUAUGGCCUCUUUACGAGUUGACUCCUCAAUGACUUGUUUUAGAGACAAUCCCAGUAGGGAGUUUAGAAUAUGUGUGCUCCUGGCACAAGCAGCUAUUUUGGUUUUCCAGUUCACAUCAGGAAGAUUAAAGUCACCCAUGAUGAUAACUUCCCCCUUCAUUGUCAUUUUAGCUAUUUCCUCAACUAGUAGAUUAUUGUUUGUGGUUUAAAUUCAGUAGACAGCAAUGUUUUCUCUCAGGUAUGAAGACAAGGAAUGGACACAGCAGAAAUAUGAGCGUGGAGGGCAGUACUUGUCCACACAAAUGUAUGGCUGAAUAUUGCUCCUGAUUUAAUGGGAGAAGACACAGAUCUUAGAUCCAAUUCUUUACAUAUCCAAAAAGGGGUUGUCUUCACACAAUACAUUAGGUUUUACAUAUGGUCAUGUCCAGUGAAAUGCAUCUUCAAAGAACUUAUAACACACCUGGCAUUAGCUUUUGAAAAGAUGUUACUUGAUUAAACAAACACUUUCCAACAGUCAUAAAGAUAAGGUGUUAACAAGAUAUAGGGGGCUGGGGGGAACAAGAAGAAGGUAAAAUCAGGACAAAGACAGCGUAGGUUGAAACGUUGUGAUGGAGUGGGCUCAAUAAAAUUGCCUGGUUUGUACCUCGGAGUGCCUGGACUUUUCUUCUAUUUUUGUUAUUCAGCAUUUGGUCUCUGGUACUGAGACUGUCCGAGUUGCACCCAGCUACAUACUACUUAAAGGGACAGAGUGCAGUUCCACACCCUACCAUAACUACUUCAUAAUAGAGCAUCCUGACAUUACUCAAUCCUUGUGUGAUACAUGAUAUAAGGGGAAAGGUGGUCAUUAACCCUUAUCAUUCCAAUCUUUUAUUCUGAAAGAAUAAUGUAACGGAGCUACCUGUACUCCGACCGAGUACCCUCCGUUGAUGGAUGCUCCUAGCGCUUCCUGAGGACUCCAAACACUGCAGCAGACACCACAACCACCGCAGACUACACAACCGCCGUAGCUUAACUGGAGUCUCGCCGUCUUCCUUCCACCCUGGAUCAGCUUCUGUCCUCCAAGACCGUGUGGGGAAGACCUCUCCUCCAGGAGAGCGUAACAGGAACAGCUCUUAAAAGAGCUAAGUGAUUAAAAGCUCAGGGGAAUAUGCAGAGCAUAGCAAUCCCCAGUGUGAUAUAGCAGUUCCCUCCAAUAACGAGACAAGGCUACGUAUUGAGGGUCAAGAAGAUCUGUUUACUUGGCACCAAAGGGCCUUCUUUUAUGCAGGUUUAACACAUACAGGACCGCCCACAGGGGUUUACAGAACAACCAAUCAUAAACGUACAUUACAGAAAACACUCCCAGCAAUUACACACAAAAAUCCUACCCUCUGCCUGUGAUCUAAUUAUGGCACACAAUGCUUAACAUAAUUAUCACAAGCAGGAAAAAUACAGUUUUUAUACAUGUACUAUAACUUUAAAACUACACAUCCAAUCUUCAUAAAUUACAUAUUUGGAAUCAGCACACUUUAAACAUAAACAUAACCAAAAAUUAGCCAAAUCCAUCCAGGGGUUAAAAAGUUAGCUGGAGGUCCCUUUAUGACCGACCGCAAGCACAUUUUCCUGCCCAAAACAGUUCCAUAGAUUUGGGCUGUGCGGUCGGUCUAUUUCAGGCUGAAAAAACGACUAAGUCCCAUCGCCGGUUGGGACUUAGUCUCUGCAGCUGUAAAAUCAUUGUGGGAGAAGGUAGGGCUCAGCGGUGUUCGCGGAAAUGUGUAGCCGAUUUUAGUUCCAUGAAUUUGGCUACACAUACCGCUGACCUCGUUCGCAUUAACAAAGAUGGCCGCCGCCACGUGUUCAGCAAACGAACAAAGGCCACCCAGCAUUGUCAAUUAAGCUGCGGUUAACCGCAGCUUCUGGGAGGUAAAUUGCCUGCACACUUCCACUUCUGGGUGGUCUGCCUGUGUGGUACUUGGUUCAGUAAGCCCCAUUUACUGAACCAAGUGGGAAAUAGCCAGGCACAAAGGGCUUUAACCAGGUCUGGGGACACAGGGCACAGCGUCUUAAAGGGGCAGUGUCCCAAACAAGUCUGGGGACACCGUCUUAAAGGGGCAGUGUCCCAAUCUUCCUGAUGUCCCAAAAAGGUGUUUAAAGGGCCAGCACCGGUCCCAUAAAGAGUCCAUAAGCCACAAUAUGCCCACUGCCUGUCUUAAAGGGCCAUACACACCCAAUAAAAGUGCAUAAGUUCCCACAAUCUCCCAGGGGCCAUAGUCAUGUGGAAGGAGGUUUGCAAAUAGGCUUCUCCACAACCCAGGGAAGCAGGGCAAUUUGCCAUUUAAAGGCCCAGUUACAAAUAGCAGUUUGUAACAAAUAACAUAUCAUUAAAUUAAUUAAUUGUCUAUUAUAGCAAUCAGGGAAGAAAAAAAAGUCAGAACAAUUAUUUCUGAAGAAAAUCUCUGGGGAGCCAUGGCUAUAAUUCGUCCUCCCUCCUGGACGAAUUAAGUUUAAAUGAACAAUUUAGUUGAAUUUAGAGCUUGGUAUAAAUUCUUUGCAGUUCUCAUAACAUGAUUGUGUUUCCCCAUGAUGAAGGGUAUGAAGCCCGCUUAGAGUGUGAUAUAUUAAUAACAUAUUUUACUAUCACUGUUCUUUGGGACCAAAUAAUAUUUAUCAGCGCAUAACCAAGUCCCAUGGAAAGAACAAUAAUUAUUGUUCAUUCUGAACCAAAGUCUGAGGUUGAUCAUUCUUUGUUUUGACUAUCAGGAGGGCUUGAUGUGGGACAUCUUUUUAAUCGGCUUGCAUGAAUCCAUAUCUGGUUCUCCUCGGUCAGAACGGCUGUUUGGGUGAUGGCAACAACGUUUGUCAGAGGGCCAUACGGUGGAUCAAAGGUUCCGGAUUUGAAGAGGGACUUCACCAAGACUUGGUCUCCAGGCCUAAAAGGAUUUGUGGUAGUACCUGCAGGAUGAGGAAGAGAUAGAGACACAUCACCAUAGAAUGUGGUUCAAAGAGUAUGAAUGUCCCAAAGAGCUGAAUCUCUCAAAGAGCCGAAUGUUUGAAUCUUUUUUUUUUUUUUCUGAAUCCCUUUGUGCACGUCAUUAAUGAUAGGACCAAUAGGGAACUGUAGGUGGGUCUUCCCUACAGACUAUCAUCUAGAUUUUGGUCAGUAGAUGGCGCAAUUACAUCACCAAAAUAUCUUGUCAGGGGGUCCCUUUGCCUUUUUGCAUAAUGGGUAAUCUGAAAUUGGUGAUGCGUUUUACGUCAUUUACAGCUAUCUUUAUGUCUACUAUAAAUCUAAAUUCCUGCCAAUUUCAAAGGUUUUGUUUCACUCUCACCCAGACUUAAUGUCUGGCAUGUACCUGUCACGUAUUCAUCCGCUUAUAAAAAUGUGGUUAAUGACAUUUACUGUCCACACAGGAAAAGUUGUGCCGAGCAGCAACCAAAUCCACAGAAGGGUUAAUGCUGAGUAGCUAUUAUGCAAAUGGGAACCUGGUAACUGUCUUUGGGGUCAAAGGCCAGUUACAGCCUAUCAGAUCUAGAGGAGGGGUAUUUAGAGCCAGUUUUCAUCCUGCUCAGUGCCCUGUCGUGGUUUCCCUUGUGGUUGUCUGAGAGCGUGUUAUUGAUUCUGGUAAUUCUGGUUAUUUGACUUUGGCAUUGUUUUUGACUUCAAUGUUUUCUGGCAUCCCUGAUUCCUGGCUUUUCCUUAUCGUUGUGUCUCUUUCUGUUUCCCUCGACCUCGGCUAUUCCUGACUAUUCUUUGGUACGUUAGUCUGGCCAUUCUAAGGUCCGGUAUACGUUACCUAUCAGUCCUCUGUGUUACACAAUUCUACGUGCUGGAUCAUUCUGUAAUCCUGACAAUACCUUUAAUACCUUUCUAUCUUUCUGACAUCAUGUCUAAACUCUCCUUCACCUCUUGCUUUCAAUGGAACUAGUGAUGUUCUGUUAAUUUUUUUUAAAUUUAAAUUUUAAUUUUUAGAAAGUACAAUUAAUUACUUAGUGUUAUCUGUCAUUGGUGUCUGGUUUUCCUGUGUGAAACUGUGUUUUAGAUUAUUUCUAUUCCACUAACAUUAUUAAAUAAUAUGAUAUUUCUUCAUUGAUAUUUAUCUAUGAAUAGUCAAUAUUAUUAACAUGAUACUAAUUAUAUAUGAUAAUAUAAUAGUAAUUUAUAAGUGGAUAGUGUGUAUAAGUAUAUACAAUUAUGUAUACAUUUGUCUCUGGGUUUGUAUUCCAUUCCCCCAUUUUUUUUCUGUGAGACCUCAUGCCUUAUCACUUGUCUUGUUUACAUAACGCAUUCCUUAGCUCAGACUUGGAUGAAUAGAGUGAUAGAAAGAAAUCUUGUGUCUGUCUUAGCCUUGUAGUACAAAAUAGAAUCACCUCUGUUCUGAGAGUGACUGGCAGUAUACACUUUUAAUUUCUGUCUUAAUACAAAAUGUCUACCGAUAUAAAUAUACUGACAGAUCAUUGAGGAUACCAGAAGCUGCAUCAGGUGUAAUAGAAUGUAUGCUCCAGUAAGCUAAGUCAUCUGAAUAUGCUGCAGCCUGUAUAAAAAGAAUAUCAAUAUCAUCAGUAUGAGGGGCUCUAUGCACUGCAGUUAAGAUCUGGUAACGAGAAAUAGUACUGUAAUUUGGCCAUAAGGGAAAAGAGGCACCAAAUCUGCAAAAUCAUUACCAUCCCUGACAAUUGAGUGAUCUGUAUCAUGGCCCUUGCACUUCACAAUAGCUAAAGAUCUAGGUAACCGUAUGGCCCUCAAUAAUCCAUCAAUUAAUGCAAAAUGAGAAACCGUUCGACCAUCAGCUGCAACAAAGCCUCUAGCCUGUCAAAUGACACCAAAAUAAUGAACCACUCCAAAGGCGUAUCUCGAAUCGGUAUUCUGGCCCAGACUUAAUAUCUGGCAUAUACCUUUAAAUCUAGCUUUCUGACAUGUCUAAACUCUCCUUCACCUCAUGCUUACAAUGGAACUAGUGAUUGGGGUUUGGAGGGAACUAUUUGCCAGCUUUUUACCCUGUGACGAUGGCCCCUUUAAUUUAUUGUGGAUGAGAGACUCUAUUUGUGGCUAUUGGGACUUUAAACAAUUGUUCUUCGAACUCCCGAACAGUUGAAGUGGCUGCCAUUCGACGUGGUGGCGGCCAUCUUGUUCACAUGGACCAAAACCACUAUUAGACUUCAGGGGGACUUAGCCGCGAAAGCCCUGGAACUAUUUUCGGCAUGAAAACCUUGUGGUUCACGGUCAGAAGACAUGAAUGGACUUUAUAUCAAGGAACCUAGCCAUAUCAUUCCUGAGUUCAUCCAUCUGCUGCGCUCAGAACUGGGCUACAUAAUGAACGCUGGAAUGGAAAAUAUGUCUGUUAAAGUAUUAAAGUUAUGUAAUUUUAUACAGUUUUAUGGGUUGUAAUAAAACGUGGGAUUUUGGGCACUUGGAGAUAAUUACAUUGUCCCAACCGUUGGACUCAUUAUCUCCAAGCUGGGUGGUAACAAUUUCAAAGGAUACAUUGUAUUACUAUUAGUCAACUGCUCAUAUUGUCACUGUAUCCCAUCAGGUCCAGAGGGGGCUGUCCCUGGAAUAGUGAUGCCUGUGUGCCAUUAAAGCCAGUUCGUUUUACCCUCAAUUCGCAGCCUCGACUCGUGGUGUAGGGAUCCGGGAAUCCUAGCUUUACUAUAGCUAGUGGGAUAUUCUACACUUACAGGUUUCUACUGUUUGAAGCAGAGUUCGACUCUCCACCUUCGGGAACCAGGACAUCAAAGCGAUCCAAACUCCUGCUAGACCGGAGGCAAUCGUAACAUGUUCCUAUCUUGUUAUAAAAAUGUUUUUUUGGGUUUUUUUUUAAAGUGCAGUACCUCUUGACUACCUGUACCAAAUGUUUAAUAUGAUAUGUAAUACUGAACAAGUCACUGUUUACGCCUGUACUAAGCUCUGCACUCAAAAAUAAAGAAUAAAAAAAAUUAAAAUCUGC
This 20302-nucleotide long non-coding RNA is filed under the name Pelobates cultripes (western spadefoot toad). Lineage: Eukaryota; Metazoa; Chordata; Amphibia; Anura; Pelobatidae. The record is from RNAcentral.